RNAcentral lists this ribosomal RNA (255 nucleotides) under uncultured prokaryote. RNAcentral describes it as "partial 16S ribosomal RNA". It matches the Rfam family "Bacterial small subunit ribosomal RNA", at positions 522 to 776 of the family's 1533-position model. The record is from RNAcentral.
AAGACGAACCGUGCAAACGUUGUUCGGAAUCACUGGGCUUAAAGGGCGCGUAGGCGGUGUGCUAAGUCGGCGGUGAAAUACUCCGGCUCAAUCGGAGAAUUGCCGCUGAAACUAGCAUGCUGGAGGGAGGUAGAGGUGCAUGGAACUUCCGGUGGAGCGGUGAAAUGCGUUGAUAUCGGAAGGAACGCCUGUGGCGAAAGCGAUGCACUGGACCUCAUCUGACGCUGAGGCGCGAAAGCUAGGGUAGCGAACGGG